Molecule: ribosomal RNA, 430 nt
Filed under: Fusarium heterosporum
Lineage: Eukaryota; Fungi; Ascomycota; Sordariomycetes; Hypocreales; Nectriaceae
Description: partial large subunit ribosomal RNA
Rfam family: Eukaryotic large subunit ribosomal RNA
Source: RNAcentral
UGAAAUCUGGCUUUCGGGCCCGAGUUGUAAUUUGUAGAGGAUACUUUUGAUGCGGUGCCUUCCGAGUUCCCUGGAACGGGACGCCAUAGAGGGUGAGAGCCCCGUCUGGUUGGAUGCCAAAUCUCUGUAAAGUUCCUUCGACGAGUCGAGUAGUUUGGGAAUGCUGCUCUAAAUGGGAGGUAUAUGUCUUCUAAAGCUAAAUAUUGGCCAGAGACCGAUAGCGCACAAGUAGAGUGAUCGAAAGAUGAAAAGCACUUUGAAAAGAGAGUUAAAAAGUACGUGAAAUUGUUGAAAGGGAAGCGUUUAUGACCAGACUUGGGCUUGGAUAAUCAUCUGGGGUUCUCCCCAGUGCACUUUUCCAGCUCAGGCCAGCAUCAGUUUUCGCCGGGGGAUAAAGGCAGCAGGAAUGUGGCUCUCUUCGGGGAGUGUU